AGGACUAGAGUCAGAAUAUUUGAUCCUAUAGAAUGAUGGGAACAUCGAUGGAUUAUAGGUGGAAGGAAUAAAAUAAUUUUUCAUCUGCCUAGGUGGUUCUUAGAAUUUCUAGCCAUUUGAUUACCAUGUUUAACAUGGAUCAGUCGUUCAAUUUCAGGAUUAGGUUCAACUAGGUUAGAAAAAAUUAUACCAUGCAUGUACCAAUGCAAAUCCUAAUAUGUGUGGUUC
Molecule: long non-coding RNA, 228 nt
Filed under: Elaeis guineensis (African oil palm)
Lineage: Eukaryota; Viridiplantae; Streptophyta; Magnoliopsida; Arecales; Arecaceae
Description: long non-coding RNA (EGUI_LNC075023)
Source: RNAcentral